GAUGAACGCUGGCGGCGUGCCUAAUACAUGCAAGUCGAACGCAUAGCGAAAGGUGCUUGCACCUUUCAAGUGAGUGGCGAACGGGUGAGUAACACGUGGACAACCUGCCUCAAGGCUGGGGAUAACAUUUGGAAACAGAUGCUAAUACCGAAUAAAACUUAGUGUCGCAUGACACAAAGUUAAAAGGCGCUUCGGCGUCACCUAGAGAUGGAUCCGCGGUGCAUUAGUUAGUUGGUGGGGUAAAGGCCUACCAAGACAAUGAUGCAUAGCCGAGUUGAGAGAGUGAUCGGCCACAUUGGGACUGAGACACGGCCCAAACUCCUACGGGAGGCUGCAGUAGGGAAUCUUCCACAAUGGGCGAAAGCCUGAUGGAGCAACGCCGCGUGUGUGAUGAAGGCGUUCGGGUCGUAAAGCACUGUUGUAUGGGAAGAACAGCUAGAAUAGGAAAUGAGUUUAGUUUGACGGUACCAUACCAGAAAGGGACGGCUAACUACGUG
Molecule: ribosomal RNA, 497 nt
Filed under: uncultured bacterium
Lineage: Bacteria
Description: partial 16S ribosomal RNA
Rfam family: Bacterial small subunit ribosomal RNA
Source: RNAcentral